This 441-nucleotide ribosomal RNA is filed under the name uncultured bacterium. RNAcentral describes it as "partial 16S ribosomal RNA". It matches the Rfam family "Bacterial small subunit ribosomal RNA", at positions 338 to 795 of the family's 1533-position model. The record is from RNAcentral.
CCUACGGGUGGCUGCAGUAGGGAAUAUUGGGCAAUGGGCGCAAGCCUGACCCAGCAACGCCGCGUGUACGAUGAAGGCCUUCGGGUCGUAAAGUACUUUUCUGGGAGAUGAGAAAGGACAGUAUCCCAGGAAUAAGUCUCGGCUAACUACGUGCCAGCAGCCGCGGUAAAACGUAGGAGACGAGCGUUAUCCGGAUUUACUGGGCGUAAAGCGCGUGCAGGCGGUUCAGCAAGUUGGAUGUGAAAUCUCCCGGCUCAACUGGGAGGGGUCGUUCAAUACUACUGGACUUGAGGGCAUCAGAGGAAGGUGGAAUUCCCGGUGUAGUGGUGAAAUGCGUAGAUAUCGGGAGGAACACCAGUGGCGAAGGCGGCCUUCUGGGAUGCAUCUGACGCUCAGACGCGAAAGCUAGGGGAGCGAACGGGAUUAGAUACCCUAGUAGUC